UGUAUUACCGCGGCUGCUGGCACGUAGUUAGCCGUGACUUUCUAAGUAAUUACCGUCAAAUAAAGGCCAGUUACUCCCUCUAUCUUUCUUCACUACCAACAGAGCUUUACGAGCCGAAACCCUUCUUCACUCACGCGGCGUUGCUCCAUCAGACNUGCGUCCAUUGUGGAAGAUNCCCNCUACUCCUACGGGAGGCAGCAGUAGGGAAUCUUCCACAAUGGACGCAAGUCUGAUGGAGCAACGCCGCGUGAGUGAAGAAGGGUUUCGGCUCGUAAAGCUCUGUUGGUAGUGAAGAAAGAUAGAGGUAGUAACUGGCCUUUAUUUGACGGUAAUUACUUAGAAAGUCACGGCUAACNAC
Molecule: ribosomal RNA, 358 nt
Filed under: Lactobacillus sp. GTH5
Lineage: Bacteria; Bacillati; Bacillota; Bacilli; Lactobacillales; Lactobacillaceae
Description: bacterial SSU rRNA
Rfam family: Bacterial small subunit ribosomal RNA
Source: RNAcentral